ACAAUAAAUCACAAUGCGGAACUUCUGUUUUGCAAUUGGAUUGAGAACAACGCACAACACUUAUCGAUAAACAAUUGGAGGGCAAGUCUGGUGCCAGCAGCCGCGGUAAUUCCAGCUCCAAUAGCGUAUAUUAACGUUGUUGCAGUUAAAAAGCUCGUAGUUGAAGUGAAGUGUGAAUCUCUUGGAUUUUCGUUUGAAUUUCCUUUAGCUUCAUACUCUUUCCAAAUAGUUUGCAUGGGUAUUUACUUAUCUGUGUAUUGCAUUUGGUCAUUUACUGUGAGAAAAUUAGAGUGUUCAAAGCAUACGUUUGUUUGAAUACAUUAGCAUGGAAUAAUUCGAAAAGGCUUUCAUGUUCGAUUUGAUUGGUUUGUUCGUGAAGGCAAGAUUAAAAGGGACAGUUGGGGGUAUUCAUAUUCAAUAGUCAGAGGUGAAAUUCUCGGAUUUAUGGAAGAUGAACAA
RNAcentral lists this ribosomal RNA (459 nucleotides) under Blastocystis sp. subtype 10. RNAcentral's name for it is "SSU rRNA". It matches the Rfam family "Eukaryotic small subunit ribosomal RNA", at positions 470 to 942 of the family's 1831-position model. Lineage: Eukaryota; Bigyra; Opalinata; Blastocystidae. The record is from RNAcentral.